This 253-nucleotide ribosomal RNA is filed under the name uncultured bacterium. Its description in RNAcentral is "partial 16S ribosomal RNA". It matches the Rfam family "Bacterial small subunit ribosomal RNA", at positions 524 to 776 of the family's 1533-position model. The record is from RNAcentral.
UACGAAGGGAGCUAGCGUUGUUCGGAAUUACUGGGCGUAAAGGGUGCGUAGGCGGCGCGGUAAGUCGGGUGUGAAAUCUCGGAGCUUAACUCCGAAACUGCAUUCGAUACUGCCGUGCUUGAGGACUGGAGAGGAGACUGGAAUUUACGGUGUAGCGGUGAAAUGCGUAGAUAUCGUAAGGAAGACCAGUGGCGAAGGCGGGUCUCUGGGCCGAUACUGACGCUGAGGAGCGAAAGCGUGGGGAGCAAACAGG